RNAcentral lists this long non-coding RNA (491 nucleotides) under Physcomitrium patens. Its description in RNAcentral is "long non-coding RNA (PPAT_LNC001434)". The record is from RNAcentral. Lineage: Eukaryota; Viridiplantae; Streptophyta; Bryopsida; Funariales; Funariaceae.
CUCAUCUGCGUAUAUUGCACAGCUGCCUCUUGCAAACAUUGCCACAAGUAAGGUGAGUGAGCACGUCCCUCAGAUUCCAACGUUGCUUACCUUUCACCGAAUCAAGGGAACUCCAUGCGAAACGUUUUGAAGGGACUCUCUGCUUAUUCUGUCACCGAAGAGCUCCAUUUGCUAUGUGUGUAUUCGCACAUUUUUGAAUUCAUUUUUAAUUACACAUUUUUUAAUCAAGUUGAAUUACACAAAUAUGUAGGCGUACUUACUCGCUGACUAAGUGUGGGCUCCCCGAGAGUGGAGAAUAAUGCAGCGAAUUCAACUUCGGCAUUGGCAAGGACUUCAUGCAGACGAGCGUGAUUCUGGCUGGCACCAUCCACUUUGGCAUUAUCCUUCAGAGUUCUACAAUGCAAUGCAUUUGGUUUGAGCACUGAUUAUUGUACUCACAUGCUGUGAACCAAAUUUGAAGUCGAAAGCCCUCGGCAUCGGAGUUUGAGAGA